RNAcentral lists this ribosomal RNA (777 nucleotides) under uncultured Neocallimastigales. RNAcentral's name for it is "partial large subunit ribosomal RNA". It matches the Rfam family "Eukaryotic large subunit ribosomal RNA", at positions 23 to 634 of the family's 3401-position model. The record is from RNAcentral. Lineage: Eukaryota; Fungi; Neocallimastigomycota; Neocallimastigomycetes; Neocallimastigales.
AGAGAGAGACAUGCGCGCAUAUCAAUAAGCGGAGGAAAAGAAACUAACAAGGAUUCCCUUAGUAACGGCGAGUGAAGCGGGAAGAGCUCAAAUUUGAAAUCUUCAAGGUUUUACCUUGACGAAUUGUAGUUUAAAGAAGUGUUUUCUGCUGAAGUUUUGGUAAAAGUUCUUUGGAAUAGGACAUCAUAGAGGGUGAGGAAUCCCGUAUUUGACCAUUAUUUUCAGCUUUGUGAUACACUUUCAAAGAGUCGGAUUGUUUGGGAAUGCAGUCCAAAAUGGGUGGUAAAUUUCAUCUAAAGCUAAAUAUUGGCGAGAGACCGAUAGCGAACAAGUACCGUGAGGGAAAGAUGAAAAGAACUUUGAAAAGAGAGUUAAACAGUACGUGAAAUUGUCAAAAGGGAAGCGUUUGACACCAGUGUUGUUUUCUCGAAAAUCAAUUAAAAAUGGCUCGAUUUUGUAUUGUUGAGACCUUAAAAGCUCACUGUACAUUUUUCGUGUCUUUUUUAAUGCACUUUUCGUUUAACAAGUCAACAUCAGUUUCUUUUGUUGUAAAAGGGUCAUUGGAAGGUGGCUUUCUUUUCGGAGAAAGUGUUUAUAGCCUUUGGCCUCUGCAAUCGGAAGAGACUGAGGUCUGCAGCGUAGACUCUUCGGGGUUAGAUACAUUUGUGCUAAGUUAUAGCUUUUUAUAGACAACUUGUUGACUAUAAUUAGUCUUGUAGGCUUACUCGCUUAUGCUAUUUUACCUACGCUUAGGAUGUUGAGUCGUAGAGCACGCAG